AACGAACGUUGGCGGCGUGGAUUAGGCAUGCAAGUCGUACGUGAAAGGUUUCGCAAGAGACCGAGUAAAGUGGCGGAAGGGUGAGUAAUGCAUAGAUAACUUGCCCCUGAGAUGGGAAUAACUACUCGAAAGGGUUGCUAAUACCCAAUAUGACCACGGUUCACAUGAUCCGUGCUAAAAGGCGGGGACCCGCAAGGGCCUGCCACUCAGGGAGAGGUUUA
RNAcentral lists this ribosomal RNA (221 nucleotides) under uncultured bacterium. RNAcentral describes it as "partial 16S ribosomal RNA". It matches the Rfam family "Bacterial small subunit ribosomal RNA", at positions 29 to 233 of the family's 1533-position model. The record is from RNAcentral.